CGUUAAAUCCGUCGCAACAGAUGACAGAGAAAAUGAAGACUUCUGUUAUCAAUUCAACGCCCGGGAAAAGGGAGAAUACAGGAGUAGAGAGCGAAAUGCAUAGAAGAGAUAAUCAGAAUUUGGACGGCCAGGAAAGAUUGGAGUCGGCAGUGAAUGCCAUGAAUACCUCAG
Molecule: long non-coding RNA, 171 nt
Organism: Cryptotermes secundus
Lineage: Eukaryota; Metazoa; Arthropoda; Insecta; Blattodea; Kalotermitidae
Exons: 2
Source: RefSeq, a predicted model, not a curated record